Molecule: ribosomal RNA, 505 nt
Filed under: uncultured bacterium
Lineage: Bacteria
Description: partial 16S ribosomal RNA
Rfam family: Bacterial small subunit ribosomal RNA
Source: RNAcentral
GACGAACGCUGGCGGCGUGCCUAAUACAUGCAAGUAGAACGCACAGUUUAUACCGUAGCUUGCUACACCAUAAACUGUGAGUUGCGAACGGGUGAGUAACGCGUAGGUAACCUGCCUGGUAGCGGGGGAUAACUAUUGGAAACGAUAGCUAAUACCGCAUAAUAUUGAUUAUUGCAUGAUAAUUGAUUGAAAGAUGCUAUUGCAUCACUACCAGAUGGACCUGCGUUGUAUUAGCUAGUAGGUGAGGUAACGGCUCACCUAGGCGACGAUACAUAGCCGACCUGAGAGGGUGAUCGGCCACACUGGGACUGAGACACGGCCCAGACUACUACGGGAGGCAGCAGUAGGGAAUCUUCGGCAAUGGACGAAAGUCUGACCGAGCAACGCCGCGUGAGUGAAGAAGGUUUUCGGAUCGUAAAGCUCUGUUGUAAGAGAAGAACGGGUGUGAGAGUGGAAAGUUCACACUGUGACGGUAUCUUACCAGAAAGGGACGGCUAACUACGUG